GACUAUGGCCAUAUCCCCCUAAAGGUGCCCAAUCUUACCUGAUUGUAGAAGCUAAGCAGGGUUGGGCCUGGUUAGUAUUUGGAUGAGAAACACAAAGUUUUAUUGAAC
RNAcentral lists this ribosomal RNA (108 nucleotides) under Castor canadensis (American beaver). The record is from RNAcentral. Lineage: Eukaryota; Metazoa; Chordata; Mammalia; Rodentia; Castoridae.